Molecule: transfer RNA, 77 nt
Filed under: Candidatus Peribacteraceae bacterium
Lineage: Bacteria; Candidatus Peregrinibacteriota; Candidatus Peribacteria; Candidatus Peribacterales
Description: tRNA-His
Rfam family: tRNA
About the family: Transfer RNA (tRNA) molecules are approximately 80 nucleotides in length. Their secondary structure includes four short double-helical elements and three loops (D, anti-codon, and T loops). Further hydrogen bonds mediate the characteristic L-shaped molecular structure. tRNAs have two regions of fundamental functional importance: the anti-codon, which is responsible for specific mRNA codon recognition, and the 3' end, to which the tRNAs corresponding amino acid is attached (by aminoacyl-tRNA synthetases). tRNAs cope with the degeneracy of the genetic code in two manners: having more than one tRNA (with a specific anti-codon) for a particular amino acid; and 'wobble' base-pairing, i.e. permitting non-standard base-pairing at the 3rd anti-codon position.
Source: RNAcentral
GCGGGAGUAGCUCAGUUGGUUAGAGCGGCCGGUUGUGGUCCGGCAGGUCGUGGGUUCAAAACCCAUCUCUCGCCCCA